Molecule: ribosomal RNA, 697 nt
Filed under: Bacillus subtilis
Lineage: Bacteria; Bacillati; Bacillota; Bacilli; Caryophanales; Bacillaceae
Description: bacterial SSU rRNA
Rfam family: Bacterial small subunit ribosomal RNA
Source: RNAcentral
GGAUUUUGGGCGUAAGGGCUCGCAGGCGGUUUCUUAAGUCUGAUGUGAAAGCCCCCGGCUCAACCGGGGAGGGUCAUUGGAAACUGGGGAACUUGAGUGCAGAAGAGGAGAGUGGAAUUCCACGUGUAGCGGUGAAAUGCGUAGAGAUGUGGAGGAACACCAGUGGCGAAGGCGACUCUCUGGUCUGUAACUGACGCUGAGGAGCGAAAGCGUGGGGAGCGAACAGGAUUAGAUACCCUGGUAGUCCACGCCGUAAACGAUGAGUGCUAAGUGUUAGGGGGUUUCCGCCCCUUAGUGCUGCAGCUAACGCAUUAAGCACUCCGCCUGGGGAGUACGGUCGCAAGACUGAAACUCAAAGGAAUUGACGGGGGCCCGCACAAGCGGUGGAGCAUGUGGUUUAAUUCGAAGCAACGCGAAGAACCUUACCAGGUCUUGACAUCCUCUGACAAUCCUAGAGAUAGGACGUCCCCUUCGGGGGCAGAGUGACAGGUGGUGCAUGGUUGUCGUCAGCUCGUGUCGUGAGAUGUUGGGUUAAGUCCCGCAACGAGCGCAACCCUUGAUCUUAGUUGCCAGCAUUCAGUUGGGCACUCUAAGGUGACUGCCGGUGACAAACCGGAGGAAGGUGGGGAUGACGUCAAAUCAUCAUGCCCCUUAUGACCUGGGCUACACACGUGCUACAAUGGACAGAACAAAGGGC